AUACGUAGGGUGCAAGCGUUAAUCGGAAUUACUGGGCGUAAAGCGUGCGCAGGCGGUUUUGUAAGACAGUGGUGAAAUCCCCGGGCUCAACCUGGGAACUGCCAUUUUGACUGCAAGGCUGGAGUGCGGCAGAGGGGGAUGGAAUUCCGCGUGUAGCAGUGAAAUGCGUAGAUAUGCGGAGGAACACCGAUGGCGAAGGCAAUCCCCUGGGCCUGCACUGACGCUCAUGCACGAAAGCGUGGGGAGCAAACAGGAUUAGAUACCCUGGUAGUCCACGCCCUAAACGAUGUCAACUGGUUGUUGGGGAUUUAUUUUCUCAGUAACGAAGCUAACGCGUGAAGUUGACCGCCUGGGGAGUACGGCCGCAAGGUUAAAACUCAAAGGAAUUGACGGGG
Molecule: ribosomal RNA, 395 nt
Filed under: uncultured bacterium
Lineage: Bacteria
Description: partial 16S ribosomal RNA
Rfam family: Bacterial small subunit ribosomal RNA
Source: RNAcentral